This 1236-nucleotide long non-coding RNA is filed under the name Sus scrofa (pig). Its description in RNAcentral is "lncRNA (ENSSSCG00000033434.1)". The record is from RNAcentral. Lineage: Eukaryota; Metazoa; Chordata; Mammalia; Artiodactyla; Suidae.
CCCUCGGCCGCCGCGCAGGCUCCCCGCCUGGCGGGGGAAGGCAGCGCUCGUCUCCGCGCCGCCCGGCAGGAAGCCCGGGGAAGGCCGCCACGAACGCCUGCGCCCCGGAGAUCGCGCCCGGGAGUCCGGGCCCGUUCCUUUUCUUCUCUGGACUCGUUUGGUCUCCACGCUGCUUCUGUCACGACAGGUGCUGGGAAAACAGCAUCAAGAAGACAGAUAAAAAUCCCGGUUCUCAGGAAGCUUAUAUUCUGGUGGAUAGAGGCUGAAAACAAACAUAUUCAUUCCGCUGCUUCCUUGCUACUGAUGAAUAUUCACCUUGCUGUCAGCAUUGUGCUGUUAUAAAUGGUAUAAAGAUGAGGACCGGCAGGGCAGGAGGUGAAGGAAGCGGCUCAAGUGUACACAGCAGGUGGGAAGGAGCAGCUAAAGCAGAUCCAAGGUCAAGGAGCUGUCCAGGCAGAAGAAUUGUGACACCUCCGGCUGAACAGUGGCCCCCAACCGUCGCCAGGUCCUAAUCCCUGAGCUCAGUCUGAGCCUCAGCGCACCCUGACGUGCCCGCUGGUCCAGAAUCUAAUCAGGAGACAGAACCAACGCAGGUUACUUCCGCAGGGAGAGGAGUCAGAUGCUGGAGAAAUGAAAAGGUUUGAAGGCGCAUGCAGGUGUCCAGGAGGCAGUAACUGCAGAAACCAGGUGCCACCCUAGGGCUGGGGCGACCAAGGGAAGAGCUUGUCAGUAAGAAAACGGAACCCCGAAGGAGCUGUCCCCGGACUCAGACUCCGAUCUCAGCCUUUGUGAGGUGGUUGAUGCCUUUGACGGGGUGCUGACCCUAGAAAAGCUGCAAAGGGGGUUCAGCAGCUACUGAUGCGGUAAACUGCCCUCACUGGAAGAUGCGUGGCCGGGGCUCCGCUGAGGGGACCAGGAAGCAGAAGCCAAGGAGAAGCCCUUCAGCCUUCAAGCCUCCCUCCAGUGUCUCCUCCUGGCCGGCAGAUUUGAGCCCACAGCCAGGUGCCAAGGGAGAAAGUACUUUUCCUGUGUUGGCUCAGCCCGAGCACCACUGGGCAGAGUCUGGAAGGGGGGGGUUGAGGCCAAGAAGUAGGAGCUUAAUCAUAUCUGGAGUGAAAGGUAAGUGACAUGCCCCCUCCCCUCCGCCGCCAGCCCCGCUCCCCUUCUUUUUUAGCCCAACGUUCUGGCUCCAAAGAAGCUUUGAGCUGGUUUCCAAUAAAAGCACAUACUAACCAG